RNAcentral lists this ribosomal RNA (468 nucleotides) under uncultured bacterium. RNAcentral's name for it is "partial 16S ribosomal RNA". It matches the Rfam family "Bacterial small subunit ribosomal RNA", at positions 28 to 507 of the family's 1533-position model. The record is from RNAcentral.
GACGAACGCUGGCGGCGUGCUUAACACAUGCAAGUCGAACGGAAAGGCCCUGCUUUUGUGGGGUGCUCGAGUGGCGAACGGGUGAGUAACACGUGAGUAACCUGCCCUUGACUUUGGGAUAACUUCAGGAAACUGGGGCUAAUACCGGAUAGGAGCUCCUGCUGCAUGGUGGGGGUUGGAAAGUUUCGGCGGUUGGGGAUGGACUCGCGGCUUAUCAGUUUGUUGGUGGGGUAGUGGCUUACCAAGGCUUUGACGGGUAGCCGGCCUGAGAGGGUGACCGGCCACAUUGGGACUGAGAUACGGCCCAGACUCCUACGGGAGGCAGCAGUGGGGAAUAUUGCACAAUGGGCGGAAGCCUGAUGCAGCAACGCCGCGUGCGGGAUGACGGCCUUCGGGUUGUAAACCGCUUUCGCCUGUGACGAAGCGUAAGUGACGGUAAUGGGUAAAGAAGCACCGGCUAACUACGUG